UGGUAAGAUAGAAAGGGCACACGGUGGAUGCCUCGGCACCGGGAGGCGAUGAAGGACGCGGCGACCGGCGAAACGCCUCGGGGAGCCGGUAGCAGGCUGUGAUCCGGGGGUCUCCGAAUGGGGUAACCCGACGGGGGUCAUGCCCCGUCAUCUCCUGCGCUCUGCAGGAGAGGCGAACCCGGGGAAGUGAAACAUCUCAGUACCCGGAGGAAAAGAGACCAAAUGGCAUUCCCUCAGUAGCGGCGAGCGAACAGGGAGGAGCCCAAACCAGCGCUGCCCAGCAGCGCUGGGGUUGUAGGACACCCACGCAAAGGCGACACGGCGGGAUAGCCGAAUGACCUGGAAAGGUCAGCCAGAGAGGGUGAUAGCCCCGUAGGCGAAAUCCCAAAGUGCGCCGAGGGUGCUCCUGAGUACCGCGGGGUAAGGGGAAUCCUGCGGGAAGCUGCCAGAACCAUCUGGCAAGGCUAAAUACUCCCCGGUGACCGAUAGUGCACCAGUACCGUGAGGGAAAGGUGAAAAGAACCCCGAGAGGGGAGUGAAACAGAACCUGAAACCGUGUGCCUACAAACGGUCGGAGCCUCUGCCGUGCCUUCGGGCGCUGCAGGGGUGACGGCGUGCCUUUUGCUUAAUGAGCCAGCGAGUUACCGUCGGCGGCGAGGGUAAGGCUCUGCGGAGAGCUGCACCCGUAGCGAAAGCGAGUCCGAACAGGGCGCCAUAGUCGCCGGCGGUAGACGCGAAACCGGGUGAGCUACCCAUGGCCAGGGUGAAGCGUGGGUAACACCACGUGGAGGCCCGAACCGGUGUGGGUUGAAAACCGCUCGGAUGAGCUGUGGGUAGGAGUGAAAAGCUAACCGAACCCGGAGAUAGCUCGUACUCCCCGAAAUGCCUUUAGGGGCAGCCUCGUGGUGCAGUCUGCCGGAGGUAGGGCUCUGGUUGGGUAAGGGCGGGUAACACCGUACCGAUCCCAGAUAAACUACAAAUGCCGGACAGACGGUCCACGGGAGUGAGGCGGUGGGGGAUAAGCUCCAUUGCCGAGAGGGGAACAACCCAGACCACCGGCUAAGGUCCCUAACUGGGCGCUCACAGACAAAGGAGGUCGCCCUGCUAAGACAACCAGGAUGUUGGCUUAGAAGCAGCCAUCAUUUGAAGAGUGCGUAAUAGCUCACUGGUCGAGCGGGGCGGCGCCGAAAAUUCUCGGGACUAAGCGCCCGACCGAAGCCGUGGACAGAUGCUCCUGUGGAGCAUCUGUGGUAGGGGAGCAUUCGGCACCGCGGUGAAGCGGCUUCGCGAGAAGCCGUGGAGCGUGCCGAAGAGCGGAUGCUGGCAUAAGUAGCGAGAAAGCACGUGAGAAUCGUGCUCGCCGUAAGCCUAAGGGUUCCUCGAGCUCCGUUCGUCGGCUCAGGGUUAGCCGGUCCCUAAGGUGAGGCCGAAAGGCGUAGCCGAUGGGAAGCAGGUGAAUAUUCCUGCGCCACUGGCGGCGUUCGACACGGGGACGCAGGAGCGAGGUCUACCGGGGCAACUGGCUAUCCCCGGUGGGCGUAGCACACUGCCGAGAAAAGCCGUGUCUCAAAAGCCGUCGGUGACCGUACCGCAAACCGACACAGGUAGGCGGGGUGAAUAUCCUCAGGCGCGCGAGUGAGCCGUGGCUAAGGAACUCGGCAAAUUGGCCCCGUAACUUCGGGAGAAGGGGUGCCCUCUCCUCCGGGGAGGGCCGCAGUGAAAGGGCUCUGGCGACUGUUUAUCAAAAACACAGCACUCUGCUAACUCGUCAAGAGGACGUAUAGGGUGUGACACCUGCCCGGUGCCGGAAGGUUAAGGGGAGGGGUUAGCCCGCAAGGGCGAAGCUCCGAACCGAAGCCCCGGUAAACGGCGGCCGUAACUAUAACGGUCCUAAGGUAGCGAAAUUCCUUGUCGGGUAAGUUCCGACCUGCACGAAUGGUGUAACGACUGGAGCACUGUCUCAGCCACGGGCUCGGCGAACUUGUGGUACCGGUGAAGACGCCGGUUACCCGCCACGGGACGGAAAGACCCCGUGCAGCUUUACUGCAGCCUGGUAUUGAAUCUGGCGGUACCAUGCGUAGGAUAGGUGGGAGGCUGCGAAGCCCCGGCUCCGGCUGGGGUGGAGCCACCGGUGAAAUACCACCCUUGGUGCCGUUGGGUUCUAACUCGGCGGAGUGGAUCCGCGAGGACAGUGCCUGGUGGGCAGUUUGACUGGGGCGGUCGCCUCCUAAACGGUAACGGAGGCUUCCAAAGGUCCCCUCAGCACGGUUGGUAAUCGUGCGGUGAGUGCAAAGGCAGAAGGGGGCUUGACUGCGAGGCGGACACGCCGAGCAGGGGCGAAAGCCGGGCUUAGUGAUCCGGCGGUCCCGCAUGGGAGGGCCGUCGCUCAAAGGAUAAAAGCUACGCCGGGGAUAACAGGCUGAUCGGGCCCAAGAGUUCACAUCGACGGCCCGGUUUGGCACCUCGAUGUCGGCUCAUCGCAUCCUGGGGCUGGAGAAGGUCCCAAGGGUUGGGCUGUUCGCCCAUUAAAGCGGUACGCGAGCUGGGUUCAGA
Molecule: ribosomal RNA, 2553 nt
Filed under: Chlorobiota bacterium
Lineage: Bacteria; Pseudomonadati; Chlorobiota
Description: partial 23S ribosomal RNA
Rfam family: Bacterial large subunit ribosomal RNA
Source: RNAcentral